UACGUAGGGUGCGAGCGUUUAAUCGGAAUUACUGGGCGUAAAGCGUGCGCAGGCGGUUUUUGUAAGCCAGAUGUGAAAUCCCUCGGCUCAACCGAGGAACUGCGCUUGAAACUACCAGACUCGAGGGAGAUAGAGGAAAGCGGAACUGAUGGUGGAGCGGUGAAAUGCGUUGAUAUCAUCAGGAACACCGGUGGCGAAGGCGGCUUUCUGGGUCU
This 215-nucleotide ribosomal RNA is filed under the name uncultured bacterium. Its description in RNAcentral is "partial 16S ribosomal RNA". It matches the Rfam family "Bacterial small subunit ribosomal RNA", at positions 524 to 736 of the family's 1533-position model. The record is from RNAcentral.